AGUUAAUGAACUUGUAUAAGUAUAUAUUUUGAAAAUAUAAUAAAGAGUCUAUUCUCUAUUAACUU
Molecule: transfer RNA, 65 nt
Filed under: Parocyusa longitarsis
Lineage: Eukaryota; Metazoa; Arthropoda; Insecta; Coleoptera; Staphylinidae
Description: tRNA-Ser
Source: RNAcentral